GACGAACGCUGGCGGCGUGCUUAACACAUGCAAGUCGAACGGAAAGGCCCUGCUUUUGUGGGGUGCUCGAGUGGCGAACGGGUGAGUAACACGUGAGUAACCUGCCCUUGACUUUGGGAUAACUUCAGGAAACGGGGGCUAAUACCGGAUAGGAGCUCCGGCUGCAUGGUGGGGGUGGGAAAGUUUCGGCGGUUGGGGAUGGACUCGCGGCUUAUCAGCUUGUUGGUGGGGUAGUGGCUUACCAAGGCUUUGACGGGUAGCCGGCCUGAGAGGGUGACCGGCCACAUUGGGACUGAGAUACGGCCCAGACUCCUACGGGAGGCAGCAGUGGGGAAUAUUGCACAAUGGGCGGAAGCCUGAUGCAGCAACGCCGCGUGCGGGAUGACGGCCUUCGGGUUGUAAACCGCUUUCGCCUGUGACGAAGCGUGAGUGACGGUAAUGGGUAAAGAAGCACCGGCUAACUACGUG
Molecule: ribosomal RNA, 468 nt
Filed under: uncultured bacterium
Lineage: Bacteria
Description: partial 16S ribosomal RNA
Rfam family: Bacterial small subunit ribosomal RNA
Source: RNAcentral